GCACUGCUGAGGAGUCCCAUACUAGGAUGAAACGGUCGUCUAGUGC
This 46-nucleotide non-coding RNA is filed under the name Schistosoma curassoni. Lineage: Eukaryota; Metazoa; Platyhelminthes; Trematoda; Strigeidida; Schistosomatidae. The record is from RNAcentral.